This 504-nucleotide ribosomal RNA is filed under the name Vibrio parahaemolyticus. Its description in RNAcentral is "partial 23S ribosomal RNA". It matches the Rfam family "Bacterial large subunit ribosomal RNA", at positions 176 to 730 of the family's 2925-position model. The record is from RNAcentral. Lineage: Bacteria; Pseudomonadati; Pseudomonadota; Gammaproteobacteria; Vibrionales; Vibrionaceae.
GAGGCGAACCGGGGGAACUGAAACAUCUAAGUACCCCGAGGAAAAGAAAUCAACCGAGAUUCCGAAAGUAGCGGCGAGCGAAAUUGGACUAGCCCUUAAGCUUUACACGCGUUAGACGAACGGUCUGGAAAGUCCGACGAUACAGGGUGAUAGUCCCGUAGUUGACGACGUGUGUUCAGUGAAAUCGAGUAGGGCGGGACACGUGAUAUCCUGUCUGAAUAUGGGGGGACCAUCCUCCAAGGCUAAAUACUACUGACUGACCGAUAGUGAACCAGUACCGUGAGGGAAAGGCGAAAAGAACCCCUGUGAGGGGAGUGAAAUAGAACCUGAAACCGUGUACGUACAAGCAGUAGGAGCAGGCUUUGUCCUGUGACUGCGUACCUUUUGUAUAAUGGGUCAGCGACUUAUAUUCAGUGGCAAGGUUAACCAUCUAGGGGAGCCGUAGGGAAACCGAGUCUUAACUGGGCGUUCAGUCUCUGGAUAUAGACCCGAAACCAGGUGAUC